This 588-nucleotide ribosomal RNA is filed under the name uncultured fungus. RNAcentral's name for it is "eukaryotic LSU rRNA". It matches the Rfam family "Eukaryotic large subunit ribosomal RNA", at positions 37 to 652 of the family's 3401-position model. The record is from RNAcentral. Lineage: Eukaryota; Fungi.
AGCAUAUCAAUAAGCGGAGGAAAAGAAACCAACAGGGAUUGCCCUAGUAACGGCGAGUGAAGCGGCAACAGCUCAAAUUUGAAAUCUGGCUCCGGCCCGAGUUGUAAUUUGCAGAGGAAGCUUCUGGUGAUAUACCGUCUAAGUCCCCUGGAACGGGGCGCCACAGUGGGUGAGAGCCCCAUGUGACGGAUGUAGAUCCUGUGUGAAGCUCCUUCGACGAGUCGAGUAGUUUGGGAAUGCUGCUCAAAAUGGGAGGUAAAUUCCUUCUAAAGCUAAAUAUUGGCCAGAGACCGAUAGCGCACAAGUAGAGCGAUCGAAAGAUGAAAAGCACUUUGAAAAGAGGGUUAAACAGCACGUGAAAUUGUUGAAAGGGAAGCGCUUGUGACCAGACUUGCGCUGGGCUGAUCAUCCGGUGUUCUCACCGGUGCACUCGGCCCAGCACAGGCCAGCAUCGGUUUUGGCGGGGGGAUAAAGACUCAGGGAAUGUAGCUCCUCCGGGAGUGUUAUAGCCCGGUGUGCAAUACCCCCGCUGGGACCGAGGUUCGCGCAUCUGCAAGGAUGCUGGCGUAAUGGUCAUCAGCGACCCGU